This 264-nucleotide ribosomal RNA is filed under the name uncultured bacterium. Its description in RNAcentral is "partial 16S ribosomal RNA". The record is from RNAcentral.
CUGCUGCCUCCCGUAGGAGUUUGGGCCGUGUCUCAGUCCCAAUGUGGCCGUCCACCCUCUCAGGCCGGCUACUGAUCGUCGCCUUGGUGGGCCCCUACCCCGCCAACAAGCUAAUCAGACGCGGGUCCAUCUUACACCACCGGAGAUUUUCACACCGGGCCAUGCGGCCCUGUGCGCUUAUGCGGUAUUAGCACCUGUUUCCAGGUGUUAUCCCCCUGUGUAAGGCAGGUUACCCACGCGUUACUCACCCGUCCGCCACUCGAA